UAGGAUGUGGUGUAAUGGAAGCACGAAGAGUUUUGAGUUCUUUGGUGCAGGUUCGAGUCCUGCUGUCCUAG
Molecule: transfer RNA, 71 nt
Filed under: Myoictis wavicus
Lineage: Eukaryota; Metazoa; Chordata; Mammalia; Dasyuromorphia; Dasyuridae
Description: tRNA-Gln
Rfam family: tRNA
About the family: Transfer RNA (tRNA) molecules are approximately 80 nucleotides in length. Their secondary structure includes four short double-helical elements and three loops (D, anti-codon, and T loops). Further hydrogen bonds mediate the characteristic L-shaped molecular structure. tRNAs have two regions of fundamental functional importance: the anti-codon, which is responsible for specific mRNA codon recognition, and the 3' end, to which the tRNAs corresponding amino acid is attached (by aminoacyl-tRNA synthetases). tRNAs cope with the degeneracy of the genetic code in two manners: having more than one tRNA (with a specific anti-codon) for a particular amino acid; and 'wobble' base-pairing, i.e. permitting non-standard base-pairing at the 3rd anti-codon position.
Source: RNAcentral